CGAUCCAUGGCGUAAGGCGUACGCGUGGGAGAAGGCGAGAAACGUGGGAAAUCCAGAAGCAUCGAGGCAAGGACGAUCUAAGAAGGCUUGUAAAACAGGCGAACCGAUCCAAAUUUGGGUUCCCGGAUACGUUGACUAUCCGGUUUGUAAGUUUCCACUGCCCUAUAAUUUCCAACAGUAAACAACUUUUAAACAUCUAUUAUAUUCUGUUUUCUUAUUUUAAUAAUUUAUAAGUACUAAUUGAAGCUGUAUGGAGGCAAAAUUAGAUUUGGAGUGGGAUUAAUAAAAUGUUAGGGAAU
RNAcentral lists this long non-coding RNA (299 nucleotides) under Ananas comosus (pineapple). Its description in RNAcentral is "long non-coding RNA (ACOM_LNC016949)". Lineage: Eukaryota; Viridiplantae; Streptophyta; Magnoliopsida; Poales; Bromeliaceae. The record is from RNAcentral.